Onthophagus taurus is the source of this 602-nucleotide long non-coding RNA. RefSeq lists it as uncharacterized. NCBI's taxonomy places the organism in Eukaryota, Metazoa, Arthropoda, Insecta, Coleoptera, Scarabaeidae. The record is from RefSeq and is a predicted model, not a curated record.
CCGAAAGGUCGUGGAACCGGUUUGAUCACGAUCGGAUUCUCUUUAUAAGCAUUGAAAAAACUCGCACAAUGUGAUGUAUUGUUACGGCAGAAUAACAAGCUUUAAAAAAUGGAAACGAAGAUUUUAAACGUUGUCAUCGUAACACUAAUUAUAGUUAUUGCGCCGUUAAUCACCCCAACAGUUCAAACGAGCAUAUACAUAAAUGAUAAGAUAGAACCGGCAACGACAGACGUGUACUCGUUUCGUUAUUUACUUAAAGUUCGACCAAAUUGUCCUGAGGGGAUGAAAAUUACUGGUAGAGGAAUUUGUAGGAGAGUUUUAAGAAGAAAUUAAGAAAACAUGUAUUCAAAAUUGUUGAUUUUUAUUUGUAUAUUAACGGCGUCGUUUUGUGACGACAGAAUAUACUUUAUAGAUAACGAUAAUAAUAUCAAAAUAGUUACUACUACAGCGGAAUCACCAAUCACUAUUGAAACUCGAUUUAUGGUAACCGCUCCAAAACUUCAAACCAGGAAAUGCACAUAUAGUAAUGAAAAAUUUAUUAUGGGAAGAUGUCGACCAGUAUUUGGAAAUUAAUUAGAAUAAUAAAAAUUUUAUUAAAAUUA